AGUCGAGCGGUACAGGAAGAAGCUUGCUUUCUUUGCUGACGAGCGGCGGACGGGUGAGUAACGCGUAGGAAUCUGCCUAGUAGUGGGGGACAACAUGUGGAAACGCAUGCUAAUACCGCAUACGCCCUACGGGGGAAAGGAGGGGAUCUUCGGACCUUUCGCUAUUAGAUGAGCCUGCGUAAGAUUAGCUAGUUGGUGGGGUAAAGGCUCACCAAGGCGACGAUCUUUAGCUGGUCUGAGAGGAUGAUCAGCCACACUGGGACUGAGACACGGCCCAGACUCCUACGGGAGGCAGCAGUGGGGAAUAUUGGACAAUGGGCGCAAGCCUGAUCCAGCCAUGCCGCGUGUGUGAAGAAGGCCUUCGGGUUGUAAAGCACUUUCAGAAGUGAGGAAGGGUGACUGGCUAAUAUCCAGUUAUCUUGACGUUAGCUUCAGAAGAAGCACCGGCUAACUCUGUGCCAGCAGCCGCGGUAAUACAGAGGGUGCGAGCGUUAAUCGGAAUUACUGGGCGUAAAGCGCGCGUANGUGGUUUGUUAAGUCGGAUGUGAAAGCCCAGGGCUCAACCUUGGAAUUGCACCCGAUACUGGCAGGCUAGAGUACGGUAGANGGGUGUGGAAUUUCCUGUGUAGCGGUGAANUGCGUAGAUAUAGNAAGGAA
This 657-nucleotide ribosomal RNA is filed under the name Marinomonas sp. SC62. RNAcentral describes it as "bacterial SSU rRNA". It matches the Rfam family "Bacterial small subunit ribosomal RNA", at positions 60 to 706 of the family's 1533-position model. The record is from RNAcentral. Lineage: Bacteria; Pseudomonadati; Pseudomonadota; Gammaproteobacteria; Oceanospirillales; Oceanospirillaceae.